Molecule: long non-coding RNA, 1276 nt
Organism: Malaclemys terrapin pileata
Lineage: Eukaryota; Metazoa; Chordata; Testudines; Emydidae
Exons: 2
Source: RefSeq, a predicted model, not a curated record
CAGCGUGAACUCUAUGCUUUUCCCAACAGGAAAUUUCCAAGCCCAGUCAUCCCAGCUGGGUCCAAAUGUAGAGGCAUAGUGUUUAAUCCUCUUUGGAGGAUGCUGGUUUCACAGCAGGACUGGAGGAGGGAGGCAGGUUUUAACUCUGCAUACUAUAUGUUGUAAAACCAAUAUAGCCUGGAAAUUCUUGUUCAUUGCUUCCUCUCACAUGUGUAGAAAGCUCUCAGCCUCUGAAGUCACAUAUCCAUGACUAAGACCCAAAUUGAGGGAUACAACUGAAAUAGGCCAGAAGGAAGCUUGCAACGAUGCAGAGACAUGUGUAGUUUCCUCUAAGCCCAGCUUCACGGAUUGUCAUUUCUGAUGUCAAUAACUCAUAGUAACAAAUAGAGAGGUGAAGUCAGUCUUGUGAGAGAGGGAGAUAUGUUUGAAUUUAAAAUGACUAACAUUUCAUUUCUGUCAACCAGGUAAGGUGGGGGAGGGUGAGUUUUUGUGGCAGGGGAUUUUUUAAACACUGAUCAUAGGUCACCUUAUCCUAUUUCUUCCAGUUUGUGAGUAAGAAACCGUGCUGCCAAUGGCAGUGUAAUAUUGAUUCAGUACUUUGAACUAGUAUCAGAGGGGUAGCCGUGAGUCUUAAAGGUGCCACAGGACCCUCUGUUACUUUGAACUAGUGCUAGUUCCAACUGGAAUGGACAGGCACUUCUGAAAAGUGAAGACAGAGACAGUGUUAGGAAAAGAAUUCAUAGUGAAUCUAGGCACGGAGGUUUUUUCUCUAAGUCUUAUGGCUAAGUCGCUCAAUUUUCUUCAGGAGCAAUACAAUAGCACUUUCCAGAAAACUAGCUGCAGCAGAAUAUUUAUUAGUAGGCAGGAACAUUUAGGGGCUUCAAUAGGGAAAUUUUUGUGAACCUUGGUAUUCACCAUACACUGAUGUUCAUUAAGAUUGUUCAAGGUUACGCAUUUAUAUAAGAAAAACAAUUCAGAGUUCGGUGCAAUCAGUAAUUCCAGUAUGAAAAAGCACCAUGUCACAAAACAGUUUACAAUACAAAAUUCUUCAAAAAUCUAACAUUUAAAAAACAAUAUUUGUUCAACAAUAAUAAUAAUACAGUAAAAAAUUCUUAUUUCCCUUCAAACAAUACUGCUCAUAUGUUUGGCACUGAAAAAGAAACUGUCACAAAUGUAUCUUUUUUAACCACACAAUUCUGUUUUAUGUGUGUUUGUAUAACAAGGAAAAACAGUUGCUAAAUUUAUCAUUUUGCCAGAUGCAUUUUAAACUGUUUUC